Molecule: long non-coding RNA, 3444 nt
Organism: Ceratitis capitata (Mediterranean fruit fly)
Lineage: Eukaryota; Metazoa; Arthropoda; Insecta; Diptera; Tephritidae
Exons: 4
Source: RefSeq, a predicted model, not a curated record
UUAUAGUUCUUGGCUUACUUUUAAUUUCAUUAACUUAAAAUUACAAUAUUAGAUACUUAUAGAGCUUCUUCUUAGAUCAACACAAAUUCUCUUGCGCUGAUGGUUGGAUUUCAGCGGCAUUUGUUGUUGAUGCUGUUGUUGUUGUGCCCUCAAAUAGCGGAACGAUUUCAGGUAUUUUACAUACAACUACAAAUACAAUAAAUCAGUUAUCCUGUCGUUCAGCUGCUUAGGCUGCCUGUGUUCAUUUGCGUAAGUAUGUAUGUGUAUGUCUGUUGUGUUUUCAUUGCAGAAUUUUUAGCUCUGAAGAUUUCUAUUUUUUUUUUAAUAUUUUCAUUGUUUUUGUUUCAGAUUUUUUUCACGCGAAACUAAUGAUUAGAGCGAAAUUGGGAGAGAGAGAGAGAGAGAGAGGAAUGGAUGGGGAAAAGGUAGACAUUUUAUGUAGCAAUGCCCGUGCACACAUACAUACAUACAUACGAGUAUGUAGGUAUAGGUGUCCACGAGUUCUUGUAGCUAUCGCAAAAUAAUAAAUAUGUUUAAUUGUAUAUUCAAACUUUUGUUGUAUUCUACAUAGCACAUACAUACAUACAAGUAUAUUAUAUCCUCUUCCGCUUGCACUAUAUGUAUACCAGCACACACAGGCUAUGUACAUACAAACGUACAUAUACUAGUUUUACAUUUUUUCCAUCCAAAUAUCAUAUUUCUCCUGCUGAUCUCAUUUAUCCGCUUUCUUUGCAUUUUCAGUUUAUCGCACAUAUAUUUUAUUCUCUACGUUUUUCGCUUUUGCUUAUAAAUUCUUGUUGUUGCUAAUUUUCAUUUUCAUUUAUUUUUAAUUUUAUAUUUCUAUUUUCUUUUUUUUUUUUUGUGUAUUUGUUUUCUCUGCCUUCGCACGUUCUCUACGCUUAGUUUUCAUUUCAGUUCCUUUGUCAACAAAAAUUAUUUUCCGAAUUCGCCGUGCACAUACCUACAUGCGUACAAGAUAUAUAUUUUAAUUUAGAUAUUUAUAUUUUGUAUUUACAGAUUUUUGAAUUGAUUCCCUGUUUCUUAAAUUUCUCAUUUAGUUUUUCAACUGGUUUUUAACUAGUGUUUAGCUUCUUCUUCUUAAUGUACAAUAGUAUUUACCAUUUUUGUAUUGUUUUUUUUUCACUUUUAUGAACAUUUACUCCUAAUUUAAUUAUAGUAUUUAGCUUUAAUAGUUUCUAUCAUUUCUAUUUGGAAUAUUAGUUAGUGGCAUAAGUGCGUUUGCUCCCUUGGGGAUAUUUACAAUUGGAACGAGUUGAAAGCGUCUCUAGGUCCAGUAUUUACUCAAUUAUUUAUUUAUUCAUUUAUUUAUUUAUUUAUUUACUUAUGAUGAAUAUGGAAUACUCUAAGUGUAUCAAUAUAAGCUUGAUUAUGUUGAUUUGCAGCCAAUGCGCUCGAGCUCCGCCGCGAAUACCGAAACCACUCUCUGCACACGCUCACUGCAGACCAUCCCUGAGGUGUUGCGCACCUUCGGCGGCGCCCUGUUCUUCCACACCCGCUCUCUCGCACAGCACUCUCUUUUGGUAUUUCGGUUGGGCGAACUUUUUUGUUGCUGUUUUUGCCGAAACCGAGCUUUUUAAAAAGAGCGAGUAAAGAGCAAUUGCAGUUGCUAGUAGAGCUGAUGGAGACUCAACCGGCUACAGCUCGAGACUUUUUUAAAAGUGAUAAGAAGGAGUGCAACCAAUUUUGGGGGAAUAUGGAUAACGAAGUAAAUCCGCUGAACCACCUGUAAAAACCCAUCUGGAUUGGAAGAAGGUGUUGGCUGAUCACAAGAAAUACGGUCGGUUCCAAACUGUAAGGCCAGAAAACACGUCAGGAAGGGUCAUAAAUUGUCCCAUAUCGAGGAGAUGAAGGAGUCGGUGGAAUGGUUGCUUGUGAGGAAGUUUGGAUUGCAGGAGCAUUAGGCCUUGCCAAACGACGUUUUUUUACGUUGAAGAAGAAUUCCUUGCCAUUCUUCCUCAUUUGCCUCAGCAGCCAAUAGAUUUAGUACCACAAAAUCCAUAAUUCUAAUAUAAUUUUGGUUUCAAUAAGAAUUGUUCAUUUCAUCAAAGCGUCAAAUGUCAAUAAUACUCAGGAAUACCAAGCUGCUGAUUCCCUACUCCCAAGAAAUCAUUCUCCCUGUGCUUUUGGAAUUGGCGGAUUUUUUCUUAGGGAAUUGCCAAAUCCGCAAGGGAGAAUUUCUCCGAGAGUAUUUCGAAUUCCGCUGACUGUAAAAUUGUAUUCAAAUUUGUUGUUGUUGUUUUUGUGGUAUAAUUUCUUGGUUUUAGAAAAAGAUUUUCGCUUUUUAUAAUCUUACAUUGUUGUUGUCUUAGUUUGUCUGAUGUAUAAUUUCACUAUAAUUUAGGGGGGUGCGGUUUGUUUCGCAAUGCCCUGCGCUUGUCCAGACUCCGGAGUCUAUUUUUUACAAUCGGUUUGCUUGUUUUUAAUUUUUGUUUUUGUUUUUGUUUUGUUUUUGUUUUUGCUUUGCCUUAAGCAAUUUUAGUCUUGCUGCUUUUAAUACUUCUAUUCCCUCACUGUCUUUCGUGGUGGCUCUUGCGUUUUUCUCUUCCUUUGUGCAUUUAUAUUUUUUAUUAUGUAAGGACAGCAGCAACAACAACAAACACAAAGAAAAUGAUUGCUCCUCUUUUGAGCAAUUGUUGGCCGCAAACUUUUCUCCCUCCAACUCCUUUCAUCCUCCUCAUUUCAGUUCACAUUUAUAUUCUACCAUUUAAUGCAGUGCAGUGUAGCGCUUAACGUUGCUGUUGUUGUUGUUGUUUUUGCUUUUAUUAUUAUUGUUAUUGUUAUAGUGCUGGCUAUGUCUGUGGCGAAAGUUGCAGUUAUAACCGUUGACUUGCUAUUUGCUGUUAGCUCCCGCCUGUUGCCUUGUUUCUUUGCAUCGUUUUUUAUUUAUUAUUGUUUGUUAUAGUUGUUGCUGUUGUACUUUUUUGCUGUUGUUGUCGCCAUUAUUACAAUUACUAUUGCAGUUUAGCAUUUCUGGCGAUUUGGUGCGCACAAUGAAUGGCUGUUGUUUGCAACUCCACACACACACACACAUACGCAACCACACUCAACGCUAGAUCAGUAACCGCGUUAGGGUGUGUGUCGCGGCGUCGGGAUCAAAGUCAGUCUGCUCGAAAUUAAAAUGUCCUGGCAACGAACAUUGACUCCUUCGUUUGUAUUGUGCUGUUUACUGCUUUCUGCUCCUUCCCGGUUUAUGCUUCUUCUUCUCGGUGGUUAUUAUUGCUGCUGAGGUAUGGCGAUGUUGUUGCUCCUGCCUCAUACAAAAGAUAUAUUUGUUAUAUCUUCCGUUUCUGUUUCUGUUGCUUGGUAAGUUGAUCGCCGUUGCCGCUGCUCAUUUAUAACGGCAGAUUUCCGGUUCUUAUAAUUGCGCGCCAAUUGCCGGUCGGUCCGUUACACUUUGGGGAAGUGAGAUGAAUACAGGGUGAU